GCCAAGAUAACCAAGCGGUAAGGUGGUGGUCUCGAAAACCACUGGCGUUUGCCUCCGGGGUUCAAAUCCCCGUCUUGGCUCCA
RNAcentral lists this transfer RNA (83 nucleotides) under Candidatus Heimdallarchaeota archaeon. Its description in RNAcentral is "tRNA-Ser". It matches the Rfam family "tRNA". From Rfam's summary of the family: Transfer RNA (tRNA) molecules are approximately 80 nucleotides in length. RNAcentral also lists the same sequence under 3 other names. The record is from RNAcentral. Lineage: Archaea; Promethearchaeati; Candidatus Heimdallarchaeota.